Molecule: long non-coding RNA, 887 nt
Organism: Saccoglossus kowalevskii
Lineage: Eukaryota; Metazoa; Hemichordata; Enteropneusta; Harrimaniidae
Source: RefSeq, a predicted model, not a curated record
CUAAUUUAAAAGUGGUCUUCCGCCUUCAAAGUCAUUAUUCGCCAGUCCUCCGCGAUUUAACGGCAUCAUAGCAGAAUGGCAGCCCAACACUCUGCCGAUUCAAACCAAUGGACCAAGGGACUGUUUGGUUGUUUCAGCGAUCUUGGUCUCUGUGUCUACACGUAUUUCUGUCCGUGUCUGGUCGCUGGUCGAAACGCCGAGGUAUUUGGGGAAAGCUGUGUGAUUUACGGGCUCGCUGUGUUCAUUCCCAUUCUGAAUUGCAUAUUUGGAGCUAAGACCCGUGAAAAUAUACGGGAGAAGUAUUCUAUCACGGGCACUAAGAACAGCGACUAUCUGAUACACUGUUUCUGCACGCUCUGUGCUUUGACACAAGAAUCGACGGAGUUGAAGGAACACGGCGAUGCCCCCAAACGAGACCUCAUAGACCGAGAUUAGGUUUCUGAGUGAAUGAUGGAGUAUCGAUAUAUUGGUCAACACGCACUUAACUAGAAGAUGAAAUCGUUAUCAUGGUGACUUUACUUGGGUAUGAAGAGCUGCUCGCAUACAACUUUCUGUGUGACACACUGGCACGAUACUGUAACGCUAUCCAUAUUUACACUUCGGACUCUUCGUAUAGUUACCAAUGACUACGACUACUAACUCUUUCUAUGUUCUUCAAUUUUACUCACUUAGUUUUAUACAUUUCAUUGACGAGAUUUAUUGUAACCAUCGAUCGAGGCGUAUAUUGCCGUAGAGAUGACGAUUUCAGUAUGCUACGUCACGAUUUCUGUAUGCUACGUCACGAUUUCAUUAUGCUACGUCACGAUUUCAGUUUGCUACGUCACGAUUUCAGUAUGCUACGUUAUUAAACACCGUGAUUGAAUGUAAUUACACAAAAUAUAAACUAU